GAUGAACGCUGACAGAAUGCUUAACACAUGCAAGUCUUUGGCGAAGCUGUGCUUGCACAGCCUAGCCAAGGCGGACGGGUGAGUAACGCGUAAGGAACUUGCCCUGCAGUCAGGGAUAACAGACGGAAACGACUGAUAAGACCUGGUAAAGUCAGGCGGACUCAUGUCCAGCCUGAUGAAAAGAGAUGCUGCAGGAGAGCCUUGCGUCCUAUUAGCUUGUUGGUGGGGUAACGGCCCACCAAGGCGAUGAUAGGUAGCCGGCCUGAGAGGGUGGACGGCCACAAGGGGACUGAGAUACGGCCCUUACGCCUACGGGAGGCAGCAGUGGGGAAUAUUGGACAAGGGGGGCAACCCUGAUCCAGCAAUUCUGUGUGCACGAUGAAGGUUUUCGGAUUGUAAAGUGCUUUCAGCAGGGAAGAAAAAAAUGACGGUACCUGCAGAAGAAGCGACGGCUAAAUACGUG
Molecule: ribosomal RNA, 463 nt
Filed under: uncultured bacterium
Lineage: Bacteria
Description: partial 16S ribosomal RNA
Rfam family: Bacterial small subunit ribosomal RNA
Source: RNAcentral